UCUGAUGGGAGUCAGAAGAUUAAAAUCGAAAUGCCUAAUUUAAUUUGUGUUACAUUCACAGUCACUUUGCCGUGUGUUUCAUUAUCAGCGUGCCACAUUCCCCAGUAUGAGAGAUAUCACCACCAUCACCUUCUUCACACAUCUGCACAUCCUUCCUGAUCGUAUUUCAGUCUUUAACGCAUCCCCACAGCUCACCACAUCACCAUGGCAACCACAGGAACCACACCACGGGGAAAAGAUGCAGGAGCUGGCUUUAUUCUACUUCGGCUCCAACUGAUGAUCAGGCCUGGGCCAGUAAAGUUAGCAAAUCCUAGCAAAACAACUGGGUAACAAUUGCUAACGAUAUGUGAAUUCAAAAAUAUAAUAUGUAACAAUUCCAGUAAAAUGUCUGAACAUGACUAGA
Acanthopagrus latus (yellowfin seabream) is the source of this 403-nucleotide long non-coding RNA. RefSeq lists it as uncharacterized. The record is from RefSeq and is a predicted model, not a curated record. Lineage: Eukaryota; Metazoa; Chordata; Actinopteri; Spariformes; Sparidae. The transcript has 2 exons.